Molecule: ribosomal RNA, 410 nt
Filed under: uncultured bacterium
Lineage: Bacteria
Description: bacterial SSU rRNA
Rfam family: Bacterial small subunit ribosomal RNA
Source: RNAcentral
UCGAGAAUCUUCGGCAAUGGGCGCAAGCCUGACCGAGCGACGCCGCGUGGAGGACGAAGGCCUUCGGGUUGUAAACUCCUGUCGAGGGGGAAGAAGCCGCAAGGUUGACUGAUCCCUGGAGGAAGCACGGGCUAAGUUCGUGCCAGCAGCCGCGGUAAGACGAACCGUGCGAACGUUAUUCGGAAUCACUGGGCUUAAAGCGCGUGUAGGCGGGACGGCACGUCGGUGACUGAAAGCCCCCGGCUCAACCGGGGAAGUGGUGCCGAUACGACCGUUCUCGAGGGGCGUAGGGGGAACUGGAACUUCCGGUGGAGCGGUGAAAUGCGUUGAGAUCGGAAGGAACGCCCGUGGCGAAAGCGAGUUCCUGGACGCCUGCUGACGCUGAGACGCGAAAGCCAGGGGAGCGAACG